UGGGGAAUAUUGCACAAUGGGGAAGACCCUGAUGCAGCGACGCCGCGUGAGUGAAGAAGUAUUUCGGUAUGUAAAGCUCUAUCAGCAGGGAAGAUAAUGACGGUACCUGACUAAGAAGCCCCGGCUAACUACGUGCCAGCAGCCGCGGUAAUACGUAGGGGGCAAGCGUUAUCCGGAUUUACUGGGUGUAAAGGGAGCGUAGGUGGCAGGGCAAGUCAGAUGUGAAAACCCGGGGCUCAACCCGGCAGUUGCAUUUGAAACUGCCCGGCUGGAGUGCAGGAGAGGUAAGUGGAAUUCCUAGUGUAGCGGUGAAAUGCAUAGAUAUUAGGAGGAACACCAGUGGCGAAGGCGGCUUACUGGACUGUAACUGACACUGAGGCUCGAAAGCGUGGGGAGCAAACAGGAUUAGAUACC
Molecule: ribosomal RNA, 414 nt
Filed under: uncultured bacterium
Lineage: Bacteria
Description: bacterial SSU rRNA
Rfam family: Bacterial small subunit ribosomal RNA
Source: RNAcentral